This 88-nucleotide transfer RNA is filed under the name Gelatoporia subvermispora B. Its description in RNAcentral is "tRNA-Asn". It matches the Rfam family "tRNA". From Rfam's summary of the family: Transfer RNA (tRNA) molecules are approximately 80 nucleotides in length. Their secondary structure includes four short double-helical elements and three loops (D, anti-codon, and T loops). The record is from RNAcentral. Lineage: Eukaryota; Fungi; Basidiomycota; Agaricomycetes; Polyporales; Gelatoporiaceae.
UGCCCCAUGGCUGAGUUGGUUACAGCGUCCGACUGUUAUCUUUCUUGUAUACAUCGGAAGGUCGUGAGUUCGAGCCUCACUGGGGCAG